UUUUUUUUUUUUUUGCUAAUAAAAGGCAUGGGGUUCAUUGUACUCAUUUUGUCUUCUCACCCGACCCUUCUUCUGGCACUGGCACCUACUGAGCUUGGUUGGAGAGUUCCUUAGAAUGUCCCUUGACUAAUAAGGUGGAGGCUUGGCCAUGCCUCAUAAGCUAUAGAAGGGAUGAUGGACAAGGCUUUUAAAAUCUGCCCGGCUCCUGUUUCCUAUGCCAUCCGUCAUGAAUUGUGAGCGAGUUGUUUCUGUUUGUAAAAUAGGAGCAGAGAUGAGGUCGUGACAGACGCAGCUUUGGUAAAAGGCGCUUCAGCUUUCUGAUGGACGAGAACAUCUCGUGGCUUCUCUUUGCUGGGGGCAGAUUCCUUCAACACUUUUUUUUUUUUCUCUCCCCAUUUUGCUUUAAGCUGAAUCUGCCAAAGGAAAUGCCUGCGAUUCAAAGUCCAAGUUAACAACAAAUGAAUGCUUUUAAGUGGCGUGUCAUUGUGGUUUUUUUCUUCAGAUUAUUUGGGGAAACUUAAUUUUAUUAACUAGGAGAGAACUAAAUGGAGGAAAUAGCCCACAAAUAAUGUUCCCUGACCCAGGUCCCAGGAUUCUAGUGCAUGUUGGUGCCCACUUUAAUGAACUGUUUAUAUUUGACAAGCACUCUUGUGUUGGAGGCAAAAUAAGUGCCUGUUCCCCCCAAAUAUCCACAUCCUAAUCACGCAGAGUCUGUGAAUGUUGUUUGACAUGACAAGAGGCACUUUGCAGAUAUGAUUAAGGGCACAGACCUGGAGGUGGAGAGGUCUUCUUUGGAUUAUCUGAGUGGAUCCAACCUACUCACCUGAGUCCUUAAAAUUGGAGGACUUUUCCUGGCUGUGGUGAGAAAGAAAGAAAGAAUGGCCCGAGAAGGAUCUGAUGCCCCACCACUGGUCCUGAGAUACAGGGGCUGUGUGCCAGGAGCUGAGUUCUUCCAACAGCCCCACUCAGUGAGAGAAUGACCUUCUCUGAGAGCCUCCAGAAAGGAGGCUAACUCUGCCAAUGCUUUGAUUUUAGCCUGGUGAGACCCGAAUUCUGACCAACAGAACUGUAAGGUAAUGCAGGUGCAUCGCAUUAAACCACAGAGUUUGAGGUUCUUUGUUAUAGCAGCAACAGCAAACUAAUACAUCUCAGUUUCUCUGGUGUAGAGUUUUCCUAAUAACGAGGAACCAAUCAGGAAGGGCUGAAUCAUUUCCUUUCAAAAUCAAAAGCUCUGGCUCCAGUGUUUCAGUGGAUUCCAGCUUGUGGUCCUGCGUUGCUUGGCUGUCAGAAGACUUGGGCGAUCAACAGCUAAGAGGAUGUGAAUGAAUAUUAAUGGAGCAUCCUCCAUGUUCCAGGGAUACUGAUUAUCCUGCUUUACCGUUAAUCCUACUAACCUGUGAGGUCAAUCAUAUCAUAUUUUACAGACCAGAAACUGUUUCUGAGAGGUUAACAGCAACUUUUCUGAGCUUAAGGAAGUAGCAAGUGACAGUGAAGUUGUGAACCUCCAGAAAAUACGUUCUUUCUAUUUUCCGCCCUAUGCUUGCCUCCUUCUUAGCAAGCCUCGGGAGUCAGGAAAUCAAGUGUCGUGGCUGAGUCUCCCAUCACAGUAAACAAGAGAAUAGAAUCACUUGUUUCUUUGGUUGAGAAAACAUUGCUGAAGAUGAGGGACAUUGCCCCUGACCUUUUUUUUUAAACCCACAGUGGGACAGGGUCGGGGGGGGGGGUGUCCCCAGACAGACUGGCUUAUCUCUUAGUCUCUACUCAAGUUCUCAUCUGUGUACUUGACUUUGCUCAUUGCUCAUCAGCAAGGCCUGUGGCUCACAGAAAACGCACCCGGUUUCUUAGCCAGGGAAUCAGGUUGAUAUUUAAGACGAAAGAGGAUUGCAAAAAGAAAAGACUGUUUAUUUUAAAGGGUCACUUGGGACUGGCUUUGCAGAUCCUACCGCUUUAAGCCAGAUUUUGGUUCGAUUGCUGGCAGUGCUGGUUGGAUUAGACGUGUGCAACAUGCUCCUGAGACCCCAAGAUCCUCUGCCAGCCAUUAAACUGUCCUGCAGGUCGUAGGGGGGAACGGUGACUAUCAGCUCACGAAGCCCAGCCCCACCCCUGUGCUGGGAGACGGCUUCCUUACACCCAGCCUCUAGACAGGAUUUGUUUAAUGGGUGGUUUUAAAGCACUUCCUCUGCCGCAUUAAGUCACGAGGGUCAAAAAUACUACCUGCUUCCAAGGAGCAUCUAGUUAGAGGGAGGGAGGGGGCUGUUUAAAAAAGACCAAUAGGGAGUUCCUGUUGUGGUGCAGUGGAAACGAAUUCAACUAGGAACCAUGAGGUUGUGGGUUCGAUCCCUGGCCUCGCUUAGUGGGUUAAGGAUCCAGCGUUGCUGUGAGCCGUGGUGGAGGUCGCAGAUUCAGCUUGGAUCUGGCGUUGCUGUGGCUCUGGUGUAGGCCGGUGGCAACAGCUCCCAAUAGACCCCUAGCCUGGGGACCUCCAUAUGCCAUGGGUGUGGCCCUAAAAAGACAAAAAAAAAGGAACCAACAGGUUUCAGUAAACAGAUAGUCCUGUGCUCCACAGGUGAGGAGGAGACUCGAAGGUCACCCAGCGCAUGCCCAGGUUUGGGGGAGGCAGGCAAAGUCGGUGGCCUGUGUUUGCUCAUGGGUUGGUCCAGGAGGAUCCCUACAGCAGCACCCUGCGAGGCUUGAGAAUCAGGUCCUUAGACCCUGAGGGCUACAGCUCAGUGUGUGCGCCUGGCUAGACCCCUCUGGGGGGUGAAACUGGCACCUCUGAUCCCCCACCGCCACCCCAGGAUGUCGAAUGCCAGCUUAGACCAUGAGCUCUUCUGAAUUGCCUUCUCAGCAGCUGGAGCAUGCUUCUAGAAACUUCUCUUCUGUCAGCUGCUGGAAAUCUGUCCUAGAUGCUCCUUCCCCUAGCUGCUGGCUGGGGCCAGUGCCCAACCUCUCUGUUUUCUGUUGGAUUGAUGUCUUUGUGUUAUUUCCCGCAGCUUGUAAGUUGCUCUUGAGACUCCAAGCUCUCCUCUCCUAUCCCGUUCUGCCUCUGGGUCAGCUUCUGUCCCCCCAUCCUCCCAUCCCAGGCUUCUCGCCGCCUCGCUGGUGGCUCAGUACCAUUCAAGUCCCAGAGCGUCUCAUUUGGGAGUUGGAACAGCAACAGAUCGGACCCUGGAUUCAGCCCUGUGGGGCCUCCUUGAUUUAUACCCAUCGGGUUUAUAACUCCCCUUCGAGGCUUUAACUUCGACCCUAGAGCCCGGCCAACACAAUGCCCAGCUCUGCAACUUGGCACAGAAACUGCAGCCUAGGAUAGAAGAAAAUCCUUACUGAGAUUAAAAAAAAAAAAAAAAAAAAAAAAAAAAA
This 3360-nucleotide long non-coding RNA is filed under the name Sus scrofa (pig). RNAcentral describes it as "lncRNA (ENSSSCG00040026143.1)". The record is from RNAcentral. Lineage: Eukaryota; Metazoa; Chordata; Mammalia; Artiodactyla; Suidae.